UUGGCCGGGCGACGGUUGUCCCGGUUUAAGCGUGUAGGCUGGUUUUCCAGGCAAAUCCGGAAAACCAAGGCUGAGGCGUGAUGACGAGGCACUACGGUGCUGAAGCGACAAAUGCCCUGCUUCCAGGAAAAGCCUCUAAGCAUCAGGUAACAUCAAAUCGUACCCCAAACCGACACAGGUGGUCAGGUAGAGAAUACCAAGGCGCUUGAGAGAACUCGGGUGAAGGAACUAGGCAAAAUGGUGCCGUAACUUCGGGAGAAGGCACGCUGAUAUGUAGGUGAAGCGACUUGCUCGUGGAGCUGAAAUCAGUCGAAGAUACCAGCUGGCUGCAACUGUUUAUUAAAAACACAGCACUGUGCAAACACGAAAGUGGACGUAUACGGUGUGACGCCUGCCCGGUGCCGGAAGGUUAAUUGAUGGGGUUAGCGGCAACGCGAAGCUCUUGAUCGAAGCCCCGGUAAACGGCGGCCGUAACUAUAACGGUCCUAAGGUAGCGAAAUUCCUUGUCGGGUAAGUUCCGACCUGCACGAAUGGCGUAAUGAUGGCCAGGCUGUCUCCACCCGAGACUCAGUGAAAUUGAACUCGCUGUGAAGAUGCAGUGUACCCGCGGCAAGACGGAAAGACCCCGUGAACCUUUACUAUAGCUUGACACUGAACAUUGAGCCUUGAUGUGUAGGAUAGGUGGGAGGCUUUGAAGUGUGGACGCCAGUCUGCAUGGAGCCGACCUUGAAAUACCACCCUUUAAUGUUUGAUGUUCUAACGUUGGCCCCUAAUCGGGGUUGCGGACAGUGUCUGGUGGGUAGUUUGACUGGGGCGGUCUCCUCCUAAAGAGUAACGGAGGAGCACGAAGGUUGGCUAAUCCUGGUCGGACAUCAGGAGGUUAGUGCAAUGGCAUAAGCCAGCUUGACUGCGAGCGUGACGGCGCGAGCAGGUGCGAAAGCAGGUCAUAGUGAUCCGGUGGUUCUGAAUGGAAGGGCCAUCGCUCAACGGAUAAAAGGUACUCCGGGGAUAACAGGCUGAUACCGCCCAAGAGUUCAUAUCGACGGCGGUGUUUGGCACCUCGAUGUCGGCUCAUCACAUCCUGGGGCUGAAGUAGGUCCCAAGGGUAUGGCUGUUCGCCAUUUAAAGUGGUACGCGAGCUGGGUUUAGAACGUCGUGAGACAGUUCGGUCCCUAUCUGCCGUGGGCGCUGGAGAACUGAGGGGGGCUGCUCCUAGUACGAGAGGACCGGAGUGGACGCAUCACUGGUGUUCGGGUUGUCAUGCCAAUGGCACUGCCCGGUAGCUAAAUGCGGAAGAGAUAAGUGCUGAAAGCAUCUAAGCACGAAACUUGCCCCGAGAUG
This 1341-nucleotide ribosomal RNA is filed under the name Escherichia coli. RNAcentral's name for it is "partial 23S ribosomal RNA". It matches the Rfam family "Bacterial large subunit ribosomal RNA", at positions 1487 to 2806 of the family's 2925-position model. Lineage: Bacteria; Pseudomonadati; Pseudomonadota; Gammaproteobacteria; Enterobacterales; Enterobacteriaceae. The record is from RNAcentral.